GAAAAGAUAAAUCGUGGAUUUCCGUGUCCAACGUUUAACUAUCCGUCUUAUAUGAAUUUUUUUAUAAUUAGUAUUUUUCAUUGUUGUUAGAUGAUAAAAUAUGAUUAAUACUUUAUGCGUGACUUGUCUUUUUAAUUUUUUUCAUUUUUUUAAAUAAGACGGACGGUCAAACGUUGUGCACGACAACUCAUGGUUUGUCUUUUU
Oryza sativa Japonica Group (Japanese rice) is the source of this 204-nucleotide microRNA precursor. It matches the Rfam family "MIR812 microRNA precursor family". Lineage: Eukaryota; Viridiplantae; Streptophyta; Magnoliopsida; Poales; Poaceae. The record is from Rfam.